Long non-coding RNA from Falco peregrinus (peregrine falcon), 1394 nucleotides. RefSeq lists it as uncharacterized. The transcript is spliced from 3 exons. NCBI's taxonomy places the organism in Eukaryota, Metazoa, Chordata, Aves, Falconiformes, Falconidae. The record is from RefSeq and is a predicted model, not a curated record.
AACGCGCCCCCCCGUGUCCCACCCCAGCGGGCGCGCCCCCGCGCCUCCCCCUCCGCCCGCCGGCGGCUGUCCAGGCCGGGAGGGGCUGUGGGGCCUGGCCCCCCGCGCUUCCCCUCAGGCCGCCGGCGGCUGUCCAGGCCGGGAGGGGCUGUGGGGCCUGGUGGCCCCCUGCGCCUCCGCCUUACUUUUCUCAGGGCCGUGAGGGGAGCUGCCAAGGUUGACUUUCAGACAGGGCGGAAUGAGUUGUCACCUGUGUAAGUCCAGGAAAACCAUCCCUGUCAGCGGCAGCGCCAGGCCAGGCACGGCGGGAGGCACCAGCCAGCCGCCUCCUGCAAAACCAGUCACACAGGUGCUUUUUCCAGCAGAGUUAGUAACAGUGUGCCAAGUCGAGAUGUAUCAGCAAAAACACCCAUGCCAGUGUAACUGUAUUGAGACUGAUCUUCCCCAGUGGCCAAGCAUAUCCCUCAGAAAGACCCAUGAUAACCUAUAUGAAGUGGCUGGACUUUCUACAGGAACUGGUCACUGACAUACAGCUCUUACCUGCCAGCAGACUUCAAAGCCUGUAAUGUUUGGCAGCCAAGCCUGCCUCAGAGAUUUUUCUAUUGGUUGGAAGAAGUUACUGGAGCUCGAUGGCAAAUGCUCCAUCAGCACUGGAGUCACAUUCCUACACUAAAGGAGAUUGCCAGUGCUGCUUUCUUGAUUAUAUGCUGCUUCAUGGCUAAAUCCUGAGUUGGAGGUUGUCUGUCGGAAGAGGUAGUCUCCAAAGCCACUCUGCAGAACAGUACCAGGGUGGCAAGGAAGGAACCAGCCUAGGUUUGUAGCUUGCCCUUGGUGAAGACCUCUGGUUCUACGAGAAUGGAAUUUGCUUCCCCGCAGGCUCUUACCUAUUUGGACUAAUCUUCCCAGAGCAGCUACCAGCAGUGCCUGCCAAAGCAAAAGGACUCUAUCUGCAGUCAUCUUGACCUGACAUGUGGCCUAAGUCUCCUCACAGAAGCAUCAUAAGCAGGGACCACCAUCUUUCCGAAUCAUGGGGCAAGCUGGGGUACUCACAAGGAAUCCCCACGUGUUCCUAUCAAGACAAGUUAAUUCACAGGAGAAAGCUGAGGGGCUCCAGAGUGCAUUCUGCCAUAGCUCAGGCAACAUCACCUUUCCAUUCACUAGGUUUGCAAACCCAUCAACUUCAAUUUCUCAUUUGUGCUGUUAUCCAACACAGUUCCAUACUGCUAAGGUGCCAAUGGACCAGUAAUAACUUGGACAUAAACAGCUAGGGCCGGGUUAUUGAUUUUUACUUAAAAAUGCAGUUUUCUGUUUAUAUAUAAUUCAGAUCUGUAAGUGCAAGCCAUUGACAGCUUUUGUCAGAAUAAAAUCAUUAAAAUACUCUGGUUUUCAAUGUA